Pogoniulus pusillus (Red-fronted tinkerbird) is the source of this 2544-nucleotide long non-coding RNA. RefSeq lists it as uncharacterized. The transcript is spliced from 4 exons. NCBI's taxonomy places the organism in Eukaryota, Metazoa, Chordata, Aves, Piciformes, Lybiidae. The record is from RefSeq and is a predicted model, not a curated record.
AGAUGAUGGCACUGACGAGCUGCGGGAGCGCAGCUCUGUGUGCCUGCUGACGACGGACAGAUCCUGGGCAUCUCCCGGCAGAAGCCAGGGUCUCUGAAAAACAGAAGUGUGGAAGAGACUAGAAAAGUUGAGUGGACAACACAAGGAAGAGAUGGAGAAAGAAAUAAAAGGAAGUGGACAAAGCCAUCAGGCAAGUGCUAAGAAAACCUUAAAGGACACUAGCAACACAGCACACCUUGGAAGAGAAAAAACCCACAACAAUGCAGUGACAGCAUACAGAAAGCAGUAUAACUCAUGGUAAAAUAUCCAAGCCCAGACUGUAAGUCAUCCUUUCACUGUGCACAGUUAUGAAAAGGUAGUAAGUUCUAACAAGAUACAACAGCAUUCUGGAAGCACAUAGAAACAAAAAGCACAGGGUGGGUAAGCCACAGAUGAUGAAUAAGGCUGGACCAUAAAGCUGCGUGUAAACUUUGGCAAACAAUCCAGAAUUGCUUCAUGUCUCAAACUUAAGCCAAUGGUCUCUCUUGAUCUUAUCUGCAAUCUUUUCAUCAGUUAAGACCACUGAACUUCACCACUUCAGCCUUCUGUUGAGUUCAGUCUGUGUGAAGCACACCUUCUAGGAAAGCACCUACUGUGGUCUGGUGGACAUUAGGGGGAUACAUGAUCCAUUAGCUUCCUUAGUUUUAAAAACGUUUAUCUUCCCAAGUAUUAACCACUUGUACUCCAUCUUGGAGGGUUUUUGGACAGAGCAUUUGGUCACUUCAUUGAAAAGCAUUUUUUAAUUCUUCCUUUUUAAAUAAUGUAAUGCAGACUAUUACCUCAGAAAGCAACAGGAUAAAAACCUUUAUUGUUCCACCUUAGUCAGAGUUCACUUUUUACUGAUCCACAUUUUUGUAACUGUACUUUACAUUAGAAACCUCAGCUCCUCAGAGGCCUAACGUGGAGUAGCAAAAAGACCUUCAAAAUUGAUUCAAUCCCAUGUCUUCAAGUAAUAUACCACUUGGGCAGAAGGUAUCUUUAGAAUCAGUUAGAUCUUCCUCCCUUUCCUGCAUUCUUUGUCCUCAUUUCAUGCCAAGCUUUCACCAGUGGUUCUCUGUUUUUCCAGAUGAGCUCAUGGCCGUAAGUCACAUACCACCUGAGAAACAAAACAGGAGUUACAACUGCAAGUUUCCUCUGCAUCUGUGGGACAGGCUGAUCACUACAAUCAAGUUAGGAGAAAAAUAAACCAAGGCACAAAUAAGAGUGUUCCUGGAACGUGCAAAAACCAAUGAAACAAGAGCCAGCUGAAGAUGUCCCACCUCUUGCCUCUCUACCUGUUUAUUCCCAGAUGCCACAUUUGCUGGACCUGUGUGUGGAGGGGAGAAGAACAGGGCAACCAUACAAACAGGUAGUACACAUCCUGGCUGCUUUUGAAGCUUUGGUUUUGAGGGAAUUGUAAAGAUACUGCGAUUCAGAGAUCAAGCAUGAAAAGUUGCACUGGCAUUGCUAAGGCACAGUCACCUUCAGGAGACAGCAAAUGUGUAGCUUUUUACUGCACAGAUGUUUACUGAGAUCAGAUGUUUAUUUUAAAUAAUCACAGAAUGGUUUGGGUUGGAGGGGACCUGCAAAGGUCAACUAGUCCAACCCCCCCUUGCAGAAAGCAGGGGCAUCCUCCACUAGAUCAGGUUUCCCAGAGCUCUGUCAAGCCUCACCUUGAGUAUCUCAAGGGAUGGGAGCCUCCACAACCUCCCUGAGCAGCGUUCCAUCACACUUAUGGUAAAGAACCUGUUCCUAAUAUCCAACCUAAAUCUGCUUAAAAACAUUGCCCCUCAUCCUGUCACUACAGUCCUUUGUAAACAGUCGCUCUCCAGCUUUCUUGUAGGUUCACUUCAGGUUCUGGAAGGCUGCUAUUAGGCUUCCUCAAAGCCUUCUCUUCUCCAGAAUAUAAAUAAAUAAGAAUUUAAAUAACUGUAAACAUAAGGAUGCAAAUGUAUUGUUUCUUGUUUAAAGUGCCUCUUUGAUUCCUAUCCAAGCAUUCAGGCAUUUAAAACGUUUUGUAAUAGCUAGAAAUAUUAAUGGAGAAAGUAACUGUGAUUUCUUUAUGCAGUGGUGAAUGUCACAUAAUAAUCCUCUAUUUGAAGUUUGUAAGAACUGUGAAAAACUAUGAUAUAUAAAUCCUAGAACCACAACUUCAACAUACCUCUUCUUUUGACACUCAUUCCUAUUCCACUAUGCUCUUUUAGGAACAAUUUUCUCUCUGUGCUAAACCAAGAUGUUACAAACUGUCAACAACUUCAGUACAGCAAGCAGUUAUGACAAUCAAGGGUAAAUAUCUGAACAGCUCAGGGUCUACCAAUUAGAGUUUGUCAUUUGCUUGUUAGAUUAACCAGAUGUUGAGGGCAAACAAUAGAAACUAGAGAGUAUGAAUCUUCACCACCCCUGCCCCAACACAGCUUUUCCAUCUGUAUCAUCACCUGGCUCAAGAGCAAUUCAAAGCACUGCACAUAAGUCUCUUGGCAGUGCUUGUUAACAGAGUGGCCUGAGUUAUUUUUGCCCCAAACAUUC